GGAUUGAAAUGGGCGAAAGCCUGAUCCAGCCAUGCCGCGUGAGUGAAGAAGGCCUUCGGGUUGUAAAGCUCUUUCGGCGGGGACGAAAUUGCGCGGGGUAAUAUCCCGCGUAGAUGACGGUACCCGAAGAAGAAGGACCGGCUAACUACGUGCCAGCAGCCGCGGUAAUACGUAGGGUCCAAGCGUUAAUCGGAAUUACUGGGCGUAAAGCGUGCGUAGGCGGUCUCGCAAGUCCGAUGUGAAAUCCCCGAGCUUAACUUGGGAACUGCGUUGGAAACUAUGAGGCUAGAGUGCGGCAGAGGGGGGUGGAAUUCCAGGUGUAGCAGUGAAAUGCGUAGAGAUCUGGAGGAACACCGAUGGCGAAGGCAGCCCCCUGGGUUAGCACUGACGCUCAUACACGAAAGCGUGGGGAGCAAACAGGAUUAGAUACCCUGGUAGUCCACGCCCUAAACGAUGGCAACUAGUUGUUGGAGGAUGAACUCCUUUAGUAACGCAGCUAACGCGUGAAGUUGCCCGCCUGGGGAGUACGGUCGCAAGAUUAAAACUCAAAGAAAUUGACGGA
This 562-nucleotide ribosomal RNA is filed under the name uncultured bacterium. RNAcentral's name for it is "bacterial SSU rRNA". It matches the Rfam family "Bacterial small subunit ribosomal RNA", at positions 359 to 917 of the family's 1533-position model. The record is from RNAcentral.